This 326-nucleotide ribosomal RNA is filed under the name uncultured bacterium. Its description in RNAcentral is "bacterial SSU rRNA". It matches the Rfam family "Bacterial small subunit ribosomal RNA", at positions 167 to 507 of the family's 1533-position model. The record is from RNAcentral.
UACCGGAUAUGACCACGUUUUGGGCAUCCACGUGGUGGAAAGGAUUCUGGUCUGGGAUGGGCCCGCGGCCUAUCAGCUAGUUGGUGGGUAAUGGCCUACCAAGGGCGACGACGGGUAGCCGGCCUGAGAGGGCGACCGGCCACACUGGGACUGAGACACGGCCCAGACUCCUACGGGAGGCAGCAGUGGGGAAUAUUGCGCAAUGGGCGAAAGCCUGACGCAGCGACGCCGCGUGAGGGACGAAGGUCUUCGGAUUGUAAACCUCUUUCAGCAGGGACGAAGCGAAAGUGACUGUACCUGCAGAAGAAGCACCGGCUAACUACGUG